RNAcentral lists this ribosomal RNA (253 nucleotides) under uncultured bacterium. Its description in RNAcentral is "partial 16S ribosomal RNA". It matches the Rfam family "Bacterial small subunit ribosomal RNA", at positions 524 to 776 of the family's 1533-position model. The record is from RNAcentral.
UACGAAGGGGGCUAGCGUUGUUCGGAAUUACUGGGCGUAAAGCGCGCGCAGGCGGUCUUCCAAGUCAGUGGUGAAAGCCCGGAGCUCAACUCCGGAACUGCCAUUGAAACUGUAAGACUUGAGGAUGAGAGAGGUGAGUGGAAUUCCCAGUGUAGAGGUGAAAUUCGUAGAUAUUGGGAAGAACACCGGUGGCGAAGGCGGCUCACUGGCUCACUACUGACGCUCAGGCACGAAAGCCAGGGGAGCAAACGGG